AACGAACGCUGGCGGCAUGCCUAACACAUGCAAGUCGAACGAGACCUUCGGGUCUAGUGGCGCACGGGUGCGUAACGCGUGGGAACCUGCCCUUAGGUUCGGAAUAACUCCCCGAAAGGGGUGCUAAUACCGGAUAAUGUCUUCGGACCAAAGAUUUAUCGCCUUUGGAUGGGCCCGCGUUGGAUUAGCUAGUUGGUAGGGUAAAAGCCUACCAAGGCGACGAUCCAUAGCUGGUCUGAGAGGAUGAUCAGCCACACUGGGACUGAGACACGGCCCAGACUCCUACGGGAGGCAGCAGAGGGGAAUAUUGGACGAUGGGCGAAAGCCUGAUCCAGCAAUGCCGGGUGAGUGAUGAAGGGCUUAGGGUUGUAAAGCUCUUUUAGCCGGGAUGAUAAUGACAGUACCGGGAGAAUAAGCUCCGGCUAACUACGUG
Molecule: ribosomal RNA, 433 nt
Filed under: uncultured bacterium
Lineage: Bacteria
Description: partial 16S ribosomal RNA
Rfam family: Bacterial small subunit ribosomal RNA
Source: RNAcentral